This 26-nucleotide non-coding RNA is filed under the name Homo sapiens (human). Lineage: Eukaryota; Metazoa; Chordata; Mammalia; Primates; Hominidae. The record is from RNAcentral.
CCAUGUGGAUGUUUGUGAGCCUCGGU